GUUAUAGCUGUAAAACUGAAAUAAGGUUAAGUAUGCUGACUGGAAUCAAGUUGUGUUAUAGCUGUAAAACUGAAAUAAAGUAAAGUAUGCUGACUGGAACUAAGUUGUGUUAUAACUGGAAAACUGAAAUAAGGUUAAGUAUGCUGACUGGAACUAAGUUGUGUUAUAGCUGUAAAACUGAAAUAAAGUAAAGUAUACAGACUGGAACUAAGUUGUGUUAUAGCUGUAAAACUGAAAUAAAGUUAAGUAUGCUAACUGGAACUAAGUUGUGUUAUAGCUGUAAAACUGAAAUAAGGAUAAGUAUGCAGACUGGAACUAAGUUGUGUUAUAGCCGUAAAACUGAAAUAAAGUAAAGUAUGCAGACUGGAAUCAAGUUGUGUUAUAGCUGGAAAACUGAAAUAAGGUUAAAUAUGCAGACUGGAAUCAAGUUGUGUUAUAGCUGUAAAACUGAAAUAAGGAUAAGUGUGCAGACUGGAACUAAGUUGUGUUAUAGCUGGAAAACUGAAAUAAGGUUAAGUAUGCAGACUGGAAUCAAGUUGUGUUAUAGCUGGAAAACUGAAAUAAGGUUAAGUAUGCAGACUGGAAUCAAGUUGUGUUAUAUAACUGGAAAACUGAAAUAAGGUUAAGUAUGCUGACUGGAACUAAGUUGUGUUAUAGCUGUAAAACUGAAAUAAAGUAAAGUAUACAGACUGGAACUAGAUUGUGUUAUAGCUGUAAAACUGAAAUAAGGUUAAGUAUGCUGACUGGAACUAAGUUGUGUUAUAGCUGUAAAACUGAAAUAAAGUAAAGUAUGCAGACUGGAAUCAAAUUGUGUUAUAACUGGAAAACUGAAACAAGGUUAAGUAUGCUGACUGGAAUCAAGCUGUGUUAUAUAACUGGAAAACUGAAAUAAGGUUAAGUAUGCUGACUGGAACUAAGUUGUGUUAUAGCUGGAAAACUGAAAUAAGGAUAAGUAUGCAGACUGGAACUAAGUUGUGUUAUAGCUGUAAAACUGAAAUAAGGUUAAGUAUGCUGACUGGAACUAAGUUGUGUUAUAGCUGUAAAACUGAAAUAAGGUUAAGUAUGCUGACUGGAAUCAAGUUGUGUUAUAUAACUGGAAAACUGAAAUAAGGUUAAGUAUGCUGACUGGAACUAAGUUGUGUUAUAGCUGUAAAACUGAAAUAAGGUUAAGUAUGCUGACUGGAACUAAGUUGUGUUAUAGCUGGAAAACUGAAAUAAAGUUAAGUAUGCAGACUGGAAUCAAGUUGUGUUAUAUAACUGGAAACUGAAAUAAGGUUAAGUAUGCUGACUGGAACUAAGUUGUGUUAUAACUGGAAAACUGAAAUAAGGUUAAGUAUGCAGACUGGAACUAAGUUGUGUUAUAACUGGAAAACUGAAAUAAGGUUAAGUAUGCAGACUGGAACCAAGUUGUGUUAUAGCUGGAUUUCUACUGAAAGAAAAGCAACAACAGCUGACAUAAAAGUGGUUUAAGAUAAUAAAAACUUUUAUAAACAGAAAACAAAAAUUGUAACAAGAACAAUGAACUAUAAGAUUUAA
Long non-coding RNA from Limulus polyphemus (Atlantic horseshoe crab), 1536 nucleotides. RefSeq lists it as uncharacterized. Lineage: Eukaryota; Metazoa; Arthropoda; Merostomata; Xiphosura; Limulidae. The transcript has 3 exons. The record is from RefSeq and is a predicted model, not a curated record.